RNAcentral lists this small RNA (897 nucleotides) under Histoplasma capsulatum. Its description in RNAcentral is "hypothetical RNA". The record is from RNAcentral. RNAcentral also lists the same sequence under 1 other name. Lineage: Eukaryota; Fungi; Ascomycota; Eurotiomycetes; Onygenales; Ajellomycetaceae.
GCGGACCGCCCAAAUAACCUUGAGUGCCAUCAACGCAUCGAUCUGCCACGCCUUUUUGAGUGUUUCCCCCAGUGAUCCUUUACCCGUACAAUCGUUCUCCCCGCCGCCAACGUGAUUAAACAGUUCUAGUAAAGGGGAUUGUGUUGACGCAUACGCCAUCCCCCCGUUUGUCGUUAACAUACGGUUUUGCCGCGCCAUUUCGUCCUUGUGGGCCUUUUCGCUAUCGGGGUCUGUUGCUGCGCGGUCAAGGGCAUCGACGAAGACAUUGCCAGUCGUCUUUUGCUCUGUGAUUCCCGCACUCGCCCUGUCGGAGUCGCCGCCUGCAUUGAUAUGCAUGGCGCCCACGGCAUUCUCCACAUCUACGAGAGCGGGAAGAGCUUUCAAGACAUGCAUCUCAAAAUCUGUGUCGGACAUGCGCAGGCAUGGGUCUUCUGGAAGAAGGACUGGAAAACUGGAGUCCAUUGAACUGGUUUUCACUCUCUUUGCCGGCGGCAGUACUUGAUGUGGAGCAAUUUCAGCUCUUGGAUGCUUCUCCACGCAGUUAGAGGGGUUUUCCAUUGUCGAUAAUUCUUGGUUAUUUGAUAUAUAUUUCGAAUUUUCACUGGGUAUAUUUUGUUGGUGAGAUACGAUAAGUCAAAUAGAGUAUUCGGCCCUUUAUUUAUCUGUUUUAUAUAACUUCCCUAGAGAUAAAGAUAUCAAAUAAUCCGCAUAAGCACAAAAUUUUUGGAUAUUUUGAGCUCAGGUAGUAAUUUCGCUGCAGACGGGGAGCGCGGGGUUGCAGGAAACUAUCGCGAUCCCUGGAAACAACACAAAUGAAGCAGCUUCGGAUCGGAUCUUAACAGCGUACGCGAAAGGAAAAUCCGUAAGCCAGAUUAGCUCCACAUGCCACAAUCAGAA